Molecule: unclassified non-coding RNA, 549 nt
Filed under: uncultured cyanobacterium
Lineage: Bacteria; Bacillati; Cyanobacteriota
Description: 16S-23S ribosomal RNA intergenic spacer
Rfam family: tRNA (bases 124-197)
Source: RNAcentral
CAGGGAGACAACAAAAUGUAAAUAUUAAUUUUGUCACCUUAGGUCGAUCGGUAUCUCAGAUUCUUAUUUUUUAAAAAUUUCAUUUUCUAAUUUUUUUCUAGGUCACACCCUUCAUUUUUUCCUGGGCCUUUACCUCAGGGGGUUAAAGCGCACCCCUGAUAAGGGUGAGGUCCCGGGUUCAAGUCCAGGAGGGCCCAUAUCUCUAUGUUGGGGGUAUACCUCAUUUGGUAGAGCCCCUGCUUUCCAACCAGGAUUUCAGCGGUUGGAUUCCGCUUACUUCCACUGAAUACCACUUUUUACAUAUACUUAAAGAGGGAAAUUGUUUUGAGUCGUGUCUUAUUUUGUUUUGAGGGAAUCUAGCUUCUUAUUUUAUUCAAUAAAUAAGAUGCGGGAUUCAUUGAAUUUUUUUCAUUGUUUUCAGAGAACCUUGACAACUGCAUAGAUUAUUUUUGAAGACAAUAAGCAUCUUUAAUGAUGCAGAUUUAUUAUUUGUGCGAAUGCAUGAAAUAACAAUUCUAUUAAGCUGAUGCUUCAAUUAUUGAAGUUAUU